RNAcentral lists this ribosomal RNA (250 nucleotides) under uncultured bacterium. RNAcentral's name for it is "partial 16S ribosomal RNA". It matches the Rfam family "Bacterial small subunit ribosomal RNA", at positions 524 to 773 of the family's 1533-position model. The record is from RNAcentral.
UACAGAGGUCUCAAGCGUUGUUCGGAUUCAUUGGGCGUAAAGGGUGCGUAGGCGGCGAGGCAAGUCUGGUGUGAAAUCCCGGGGCUCAACCCCGGAACUGCACUGGAUACUGCUUUGCUAGAGUACUGGAGAGGGAACUGGAAUUUACGGUGUAGCAGUGAAAUGCGUAGAUAUCGUAAGGAAGACCAGCGGCGAAGGCGAGUUCCUGGACAGUUACUGACGCUGAGGCACGAAGGCCAGGGGAGCAAAC